AUAUAAAUAAGUUAAUUUAAACUAUUAGAUUCAUAAUCUAAAAAUAUUAUUUAUUUUAUUUUAUAUA
This 67-nucleotide transfer RNA is filed under the name Cephalonomia gallicola. RNAcentral describes it as "tRNA-Met". Lineage: Eukaryota; Metazoa; Arthropoda; Insecta; Hymenoptera; Bethylidae. The record is from RNAcentral.